Phthorimaea operculella (potato tuberworm) is the source of this 72-nucleotide non-coding RNA. Lineage: Eukaryota; Metazoa; Arthropoda; Insecta; Lepidoptera; Gelechiidae. The record is from the annotation of a GenBank genome assembly.
GCAUCGAUAGCUCAGUGGCAGAGGGGUGGGGCGUUUACCCAUGCGGCCCGGGUUCGAUCCCCGGUCGAUGCA